AGAAGGAAAGAAAGGAAGGAAGGAAGGGAGGAAGCCGCAAAUGUUCCUGCAAACGAAUGCCAUUUCUCGAGGGCGGCAUUUUCUACAACCUACAUGAAUCAAGAUUCCGCCAUUAUAAGAAUUCCGCCGCCACGGCCGGAAUCGAACCGGUGACCUCGAGCUCAGCUCCACAACGGCAACAGCCACUGAACUGCAACGGCGUGUCACGAGGAUGGCUUGACGGCGACGAUGGUUGCAAGACGGCGACGACGACGGUAUCCUGACGACGGCGGAUCGACGGCUACGUAUACGAUGGCUCCGGUGAAGACACGUUACAACCUCUAUCGUUACAACGUAUAAGCCGACACUGAACAAUACCGGAGACAGCGCAAGGCCACAUAGCGGCUCAAAGUGCUAGCUGCACGGGGAAAGUAGACUGCAUGCCUUUGCUUUUCAUUAAAAUGCCUAAGUGCUGUCACAAAGGAAA
This is a long non-coding RNA of Dermacentor albipictus, 466 nucleotides long. RefSeq lists it as uncharacterized. NCBI's taxonomy places the organism in Eukaryota, Metazoa, Arthropoda, Arachnida, Ixodida, Ixodidae. The record is from RefSeq and is a predicted model, not a curated record.